UUCCUCUAAGAGAGGGGUAAAUAAAAGGGCUGGAGAACAUGGGCCUGUGGAGGAACACUGGAGCUCAUCUCAGAAAUAACACAACAGUUUCCAUCAUAACACCAGAAUGCAGAGAGGCUCGUGAUGACAGUGAGAAGAUAUUCCAUCUUCCAGAGGUUGGUCAACCAUCGGAAUGUGCAGUUGGACAACGAUAAAACUGCAACACAGCGAAGAUGAAAGUUAGCAUGUUACACGAGGCCCCAUCUGACAGAGUGGUCGUUCUGCUUUCUGUCAUAAGUACUAUCUGUUGGGAUGGCGGCCAGGCCUAUAGUCAGGCAUACCGUCAUGGCGUUAGCUCUAUUUUGGCAUUUAGGACAACAUGUUAACACGGGCCUAACUAUCACCAAAUAAAGUUUUCAUCCUCCUUCAA
This is a long non-coding RNA of Pseudoliparis swirei, 409 nucleotides long. RefSeq lists it as uncharacterized. The record is from RefSeq and is a predicted model, not a curated record. The transcript is spliced from 2 exons. Lineage: Eukaryota; Metazoa; Chordata; Actinopteri; Perciformes; Liparidae.